This 88-nucleotide transfer RNA is filed under the name Gemmatimonadales bacterium. RNAcentral's name for it is "tRNA-Ser". It matches the Rfam family "tRNA". From Rfam's summary of the family: Transfer RNA (tRNA) molecules are approximately 80 nucleotides in length. Their secondary structure includes four short double-helical elements and three loops (D, anti-codon, and T loops). Further hydrogen bonds mediate the characteristic L-shaped molecular structure. tRNAs have two regions of fundamental functional importance: the anti-codon, which is responsible for specific mRNA codon recognition, and the 3' end, to which the tRNAs corresponding amino acid is attached (by aminoacyl-tRNA synthetases). tRNAs cope with the degeneracy of the genetic code in two manners: having more than one tRNA (with a specific anti-codon) for a particular amino acid; and 'wobble' base-pairing, i.e. permitting non-standard base-pairing at the 3rd anti-codon position. The record is from RNAcentral. Lineage: Bacteria; Pseudomonadati; Gemmatimonadota; Gemmatimonadia; Gemmatimonadales. RNAcentral also lists the same sequence under 2 other names.
GGACAGGUGGCCGAGUGGUUGAAGGCGCACGCCUGGAGAGCGUGUGUACGCCAAAAGCGUAUCGUGGGUUCGAAUCCCACCCUGUCCG